GAUGAACGCUGGCGGCGUGCCUAAUACAUGCAAGUCGAGCGAACAGACGAGGAGCUUGCUCCUCUGACGUUAGCGGCGGACGGGUGAGUAACACGUGGAUAACCUACCUAUAAUACUGGGAUAACUUCGGGAAACCGGAGCUAAUACCGGCUCAUAUAUUGAACCGCAUGGUUCAAUAGUGAAAGACGGUUUUGCUGUCACUUAUAGAUGGAUCCGCGCCGGAUUAGCUAGUUGGUAAGGUAACGGCUUACCAAGGCAACGAUGCGUAGCCGACCUGAGAGGGUGAUCGGCCACACUGGAACUGAGACACGGUCCAGACUCCUACGGGAGGCAGCAGUAGGGAAUCUUCCGCAAUGGGCGAAAGCCUGACGGAGCAACGCCGCGUGAGUGAUGAAGGUCUUCGGAUCGUAAAACUCUGUUAUUAGGGAAGAACAAAUGUGUAAGUAACUAUGCACGUCUUGACGGUACCUAAUCAGAAAGCCACGGCUAACUACGUG
RNAcentral lists this ribosomal RNA (497 nucleotides) under uncultured bacterium. RNAcentral's name for it is "partial 16S ribosomal RNA". It matches the Rfam family "Bacterial small subunit ribosomal RNA", at positions 28 to 507 of the family's 1533-position model. The record is from RNAcentral.